GGAGGAAUGGCCGAGUGGUUGAAGGCGGCGGUCUUGAAAACCGUUGAAGGAAACUUCCGUGGGUUCGAAUCCUACUUCCUCCGCCA
RNAcentral lists this transfer RNA (86 nucleotides) under Nitrospinota bacterium. RNAcentral's name for it is "tRNA-Ser". It matches the Rfam family "tRNA". From Rfam's summary of the family: Transfer RNA (tRNA) molecules are approximately 80 nucleotides in length. Their secondary structure includes four short double-helical elements and three loops (D, anti-codon, and T loops). The record is from RNAcentral. Lineage: Bacteria; Pseudomonadati; Nitrospinota.